RNAcentral lists this ribosomal RNA (910 nucleotides) under uncultured bacterium. RNAcentral's name for it is "bacterial SSU rRNA". It matches the Rfam family "Bacterial small subunit ribosomal RNA", at positions 33 to 924 of the family's 1533-position model. The record is from RNAcentral.
ACGCUGGCGGCGUGCCUAAUACAUGCAAGUCGAGCGAAGUUUUUCUGGUGCUUGCACUAGAAAAACUUAGCGGCGAACGGGUGAGUAACACGUAAAGAACCUGCCUCAUAGACUGGGACAACUAUUGGAAACGAUAGCUAAUACUGGAUAACAGCAUUAACUGCAUGGUUGAUGUUUAAAAGUUGGUUUUGCUAACACUAUGAGAUGGCUUUGCGGUGCAUUAGCUAGUUGGUGGGGUAAAGGCCUACCAAGGCGACGAUGCAUAGCCGACCUGAGAGGGUGAUCGGCCACACUGGGACUGAGACACGGCCCAGACUCCUACGGGAGGCAGCAGUAGGGAAUCUUCCGCAAUGGGCGAAAGCCUGACGGAGCAACGCCGCGUGAGUGAAGAAGGAUUUCGGUUCGUAAAGCUCUGUUGUUAGGGAAGAAUGAUUGUGUAGUAACUAUACACAGUAGAGACGGUACCUAACCAGAAAGCCACGGCUAACUACGUGCCAGCAGCCGCGGUAAUACGUAGGUGGCAAGCGUUGUCCGGAAUUAUUGGGCGUAAAGCGCGCGCAGGUGGUUUAAUAAGUCUGAUGUGAAAGCCCACGGCUCAACCGUGGAGGGUCAUUGGAAACUGUUAAACUUGAGUGCAGGAGAGAAAAGUGGAAUUCCUAGUGUAGCGGUGAAAUGCGUAGAGAUUAGGAGGAACACCAGUGGCGAAGGCGGCUUUUUGGCCUGUAACUGACACUGAGGCGCGAAAGCGUGGGGAGCAAACAGGAUUAGAUACCCUGGUAGUCCACGCCGUAAACGAUGAGUGCUAAGUGUUGGUCUCAUAAGAGAUCAGUGCUGCAGCUAACGCAUUAAGCACUCCGCCUGGGGAGUACGACCGCAAGGUUGAAACUCAAAGGAAUUGACGGGGACCCGC